RNAcentral lists this ribosomal RNA (492 nucleotides) under uncultured bacterium. RNAcentral's name for it is "partial 16S ribosomal RNA". It matches the Rfam family "Bacterial small subunit ribosomal RNA", at positions 30 to 523 of the family's 1533-position model. The record is from RNAcentral.
AUUGAACGCUGGCGGCAUGCCUUACACAUGCAAGUCGAACGGGGGUAGCAAUACCCUAGUGGCGAACGGGUGAGUAAAGCAUCGGAACGUACCCAGUCGUGGGGGAUAACGUAGCGAAAGUUACGCUAAUACCGCAUACGAUCUGAGGAUGAAAGCAGGGGACUCGCAAGAGCCUUGCGCGAUUGGAGCGGCCGAUGUCGGAUUGGCUAGUUGGUGGGGUAAAAGCCUACCAAAGCGACGAUCCGUAGCUGGUCUGAGAGGAUGAUCAGCCACACUGGGACUGAGACACGGCCCAGACUCCUACGGGAGGCAGCAGUGGGGAAUUGUGGACAAUGGGGGAAACCCUGAUCCAGCCAUGCCGCGUGAGUGAAGAAGGCCUUCGGGUUGUAAAGCUCUUUCAGACGGAAAGAAAUGGUCUUGGCUAAUACCCGAGAUCGAUGACGGUACCGUAAGAAGAAGCACCGGCUAACUACGUGCCAGCAGCCGCGGUAA